CAGUUAGAUAUUCUAUAACUAGUGAGAAUACUAAAUAUGACUAUAGCUUAAUUUUUCAGGUUGUGACUAAUGUUUUAUUAGGAUCGUGAUCGAGAUCUAAACAAAGUAAAAUGGGUUGAUCUUGGUGAAGAAGCAACUGAGAUGAUUUUGACGAAGAAACAACUAGAGUCACUAUUGGAGAUGCCUUUGGCGGUGGCUGGCAUGGGAAAGAAGAUAUCAGAACUACUUCGGUCGCCAAAACAGUGUCCUUGUCUUUUCUCUUUUUUUUUUUUUUUGUCUUUUCAUUUUUUUGUUUUCAUUUUAUUUAUAUUUAUAUGGUAAUUAUAAACUUACAGAUUUGCCCUUCAAUUAAAUGGUC
This 358-nucleotide long non-coding RNA is filed under the name Olea europaea subsp. europaea. The record is from RNAcentral. Lineage: Eukaryota; Viridiplantae; Streptophyta; Magnoliopsida; Lamiales; Oleaceae.